UUUUAGCAGGGAAGAAGCGAAAGUGACGGUACCUGCAGAAAAAGCGCCGGCUAACUACGUGCCAGCAGCCGCGGUAAUACGUAGGGCGCAAGCGUUAUCCGGAAUUAUUGGGCGUAAAGAGCUCGUAGGCGGUUUGUCGCGUCUGCUGUGAAAACCCGAGGCUCAACCUCGGGCCUGCAGUGGGUACGGGCAGACUAGAGUGCGGUAGGGGAGAUUGGAAUUCCUGGUGUAGCGGUGGAAUGCGCAGAUAUCAGGAGGAACACCGAUGGCGAAGGCAGAUCUCUGGGCCGUAACUGACGCUGAGGAGCGAAAGGGUGGGGAGCAAACAGGCUUAGAUACCCUGGUAGUCCACCCCGUAAACGUUGGGAACUAGUUGUGGGGUCCAUUCCACGGAUUCCGUGACGCAGCUAACGCAUUAAGUUCCCCGCCUGGGGAGUACGGCCGCAAGGCUAAAACUCAAAGGAAUUGACGGGGACCCGCACAAGCGGCGGAGCAUGCGGAUUAAUUCGAUGCAACGCGAAGAACCUUACCAAGGCUUGACAUAUACGAGAACGGGCCAGAAAUGGUCAACUCUUUGGACACUCGUAAACAGGUGGUGCAUGGUUGUCGUCAGCUCGUGUCGUGAGAUGUUGGGUUAAGUCCCGCAACGAGCGCAACCCUCGUUCUAUGUUGCCAGCACGUAAUGGUGGGAACUCAUGGGAUACUGCCGGGGUCAACUCGGAGGAAGGUGGGGAUGACGUCAAAUCAUCAUGCCCCUUAUGUCUUGGGCUUCACGCAUGCUACAAUGGCCGGUACAAAGGGCUGCAAUACCGCAAGGUGGAGCGAAUCCCAAAAAGCCGGUCCCAGUUCGGAUUGAGGUCUGCAACUCGACCUCAUGAAGUCGGAGUCGCUAGUAAUCGCAGAUCAGCAACGCUGCGGUGAAUACGUUCCCGGGUCUUGUACACACCGCCCGUCAAGUCAUGAAAGUCGGUAACACCUGAAGCCGGUGGCCCAACCCUUGUGGAGGGAGCCGUCG
Molecule: ribosomal RNA, 1015 nt
Filed under: Microbacterium saccharophilum
Lineage: Bacteria; Bacillati; Actinomycetota; Actinomycetes; Micrococcales; Microbacteriaceae
Description: bacterial SSU rRNA
Rfam family: Bacterial small subunit ribosomal RNA
Source: RNAcentral